RNAcentral lists this ribosomal RNA (252 nucleotides) under uncultured bacterium. RNAcentral describes it as "partial 16S ribosomal RNA". It matches the Rfam family "Bacterial small subunit ribosomal RNA", at positions 524 to 776 of the family's 1533-position model. The record is from RNAcentral.
UACGUAGGCAGCGAGCGUUGUUCGGAGUUACUGGGCGUAAAGCGUGCGUAGGCGGUGGCCCAAGUCUGGUGUGAAAUCUCCCGCUUAACUGGGAGGGUGCGCCGGAAACUGGGUUGCUGGAGUACCGGAGAGGCAAGCGGAAUUCCUGGUGUAGCGGUGAAAUGCGCAGAUAUCGGGAGGAACACCGGUGGCGAAGGCGGUUCUCUGGGCCUGUACUGACGCUGAGGAGCGAAAGCGUGGGGAGCGAACAGG